UUUAAAAAAAAUCUUACCAAAGUUUUUGUAAAUAAUGUCAUGCAUGCAAAAGGAUACUUCGAAUUUAAAUGAUUCAAACAUGUUGAUGAGGCAAGAUGUAUCAAUAUCUCACGAUUCUUGACAACACAAAUUUAUUUGACAAGCUCCUAAAAAAAAUUGCGAUAAGCUCAACUAUCAUUUUUGCUUUUUCAAAAGAAAAAAAAAAGAAAAAAAAAAACUUGCUCCCUCCGUCCACCAAAGAUAUGCAACAAUUUUCUUUUUCGUCCAUCCAUAAAAAAUAUGUCACAUCCAUUUUUAAAAGUAGAGUCCACAUAACUCCACUCACAUUUAGAACCCUACUCCACUACUAACUCUAC
RNAcentral lists this long non-coding RNA (356 nucleotides) under Salvia miltiorrhiza (redroot sage). RNAcentral's name for it is "long non-coding RNA (SMIL_LNC009394)". The record is from RNAcentral. Lineage: Eukaryota; Viridiplantae; Streptophyta; Magnoliopsida; Lamiales; Lamiaceae.